RNAcentral lists this ribosomal RNA (468 nucleotides) under uncultured bacterium. Its description in RNAcentral is "partial 16S ribosomal RNA". It matches the Rfam family "Bacterial small subunit ribosomal RNA", at positions 28 to 507 of the family's 1533-position model. The record is from RNAcentral.
GACGAACGCUGGCGGCGUGCUUAACACAUGCAAGUCGAACGGUGAAGCUCCAGCUUGCUGGAGUGGAUCAGUGGCGAACGGGUGAGUAACACGUGAGCAACCUGCCCCAGACUCUGGAAUAAGCGCUGGAAACGGCGUCUAAUACUGGAUACGAGAUCAAGCCGCAUGGUUAUGGUCUGGAAAGUUUUUCGGUUUGGGAUGGGCUCGCGGCCUAUCAGCUUGUUGGUGAGGUAAUGGCUCACCAAGGCGACGACGGGUAGCCGGCCUAAGAGGGCGACCGGCCACACUGGGACUGAGACACGGCCCAGACUCCUACGGGAGGCAGCAGUGGGGAAUAUUGCACAAUGGGCGAAAGCCUGAUGCAGCGACGCCGCGUGAGGGAUGACGGCCUUCGGGUUGUAAACCUCUUUCAGCAGGGAAGAAGCGAAAGUGACGGUACCUGCAGAAGAAGCACCGGCUAACUACGUG